Molecule: long non-coding RNA, 2543 nt
Organism: Gallus gallus (chicken)
Lineage: Eukaryota; Metazoa; Chordata; Aves; Galliformes; Phasianidae
Exons: 4
Source: RefSeq, a predicted model, not a curated record
UUUUUGGAGUAGGGGCUUGAGAAUAUGGAAUAUGGAAUAUGGGAUACAGAAUAUAGAAUAUAGAAAUUUUCUCUCUGAUCAUGUUUUGGGAAAAAGAUUUCACUGGAUUUAUCUUUGCAGUGGCCAUAUCACCCUUGAAGAAUACUGGACAGCAUUUUAGGAGAAAAAGAUUAUUGUGUCACAGCAACCAGAAAAUAAGUGGGUAGUGAGAGUGAUCGAGGCUCAUCUGGAUAUUAAGGCUGUUGUUGUCAGUGACCUACAGCAACCUGCUCAUGUCUGCAAUUUUUCAACAGUUGACCUUGUCAUCCACAAGCAGCCUUGUCUCCCUCAUAUCUGACUUGUUCCUCUUCACUUCUGGGCAACACAGUCCCCUGGUAACCCUGCCAUUUCCAGGACGAGAGUACCAGGAGCUGGAGAUCCAGCUCCUCAGACUUGUGGAUGAAAGACCCAGUUGCAGUCUGUAGACACUGCAGACAGCCCCUGCUCUCAAAGACAGGACACCCAAGAAGAUUUUGGAACACUGUGAGAAGCCUAUAACAUGAAUAACUGAGAAAGAAACCUUGGAGACUUAAGCUUCUGUUUCUCUCAAAACUGAAUUUCACAUGCUAUGUUUUUGGUGGUUUUUCAUGCUGUUUUUUGGGAGGGUGGAGGAGGGGAGUGGAGGUGAAUUACAAUAUUAUUGUCAAGUGAGUUGCUAUAGGUUUGAAAACACUGGCACUCUUUUAUGUUAAUGUACAGGAUUUUAAACUGCUGGUAGUAAUAACUUGACCUCUUUAGGUCCAGUAAAACUUAUCACAGCCAUGUGAAUACAUUUUCCCCAGAAAAUCUCAGGAUUAAUACAAAAGCUUUUCAUAAUUUUUAAGGAAGUGGCUUCUAGAAUAGAAAGAGUGAUGAGAGUGCUUAGCUGAGAUGUGAAGAAAUUCAGGAUUGUCUUGUUUUCGAACCAAAUUAUUGCAAAUGUUGUUAGCCGUAAUCUGAAAGUGUGUAUGUAGAGUAUAUUUAUACAAUUCCAAUGGCUAUUCAAUCUUUGAUAUUCACUAUCACAGCAUGAUUCAGAAAACUUAACUCUUGGUCUUAAGUGCGUCUUAGUAGAAAAGUGAGUUUGUCUUACAUGCUUUACAAGGUGCUAUCUGGUCUGGAUCUUCAGCCAGAUUGUUUGUUGCACUAAAAUUCAUUUAAUCUCCUAAUGUAAACCCAACCCACUCGCUUAUCUGCACUGCUCUGUGAACCUCAGGCAUGUAAAACACUCACAAAAUGAGAUAUAUGAAACGGCCUUGCCUAACUUCAAGGUUUGAUUUGAGGCUAUCAACACCAGGGACUUCAAGCUACUGUGACAAAAAUGUAAGGAAUGUUCUGUCACAGAAUGCUAAUUCUAUUGGCAGUCCUGACUGACGGACAUCAGAAAGCCCUCAUGUCUCAUAUUUAUACUUCCUAACCUUGUGUGUGCUUUUUAUCCUUAGAAAAUGCAGUAUCUCAUGAUCCUUCAAAUAACAAAUGACCUUAUUCCUUUUAAUGGGGUCAUUAAGAACUCUAACGUUCCAGGUAUAAAUUCCUGCUACUACUGUGCACCUUCAUUUGUUAUUCAUAUGUGAAUCCCUUUGGGUUCCCAAUUACUAUCCAGCAACAGCAAUUGGCUCUUGAAAUUAUUCCCACAGGACUGACUUUGUAAAGGACACUGCAGUUUACAUCUUAGUUCCCUAAUUACAGACACAACGCUCGAUAAACUUUGAACAACUAGUAAUUGGAAGCUAAUGGUUACUCUCAUUGAAUCCCUGUUGACACAGAUUUUGUUGCCCGAUAACUGACCACAAGUGGGUCAUGUGAGAAGGCAGGAGUGAAGAAAGAGUAUUAAGGUCAUAUGCUACCAGUGGGAAUUGACUGGAAAAAGUCCCUUAUAAAGUGGGGGCUUAGCAUCCUCAGUUUGUUACAACUCAGUGCACAACAUCUGAAACACCACAGGUGCUACAACUGCAUCUCCCUGCUGGGGUAAGAAAUAGCAGAUGAUAUUUGUGAGGGAUGGUGGGAUGGGUUUCAAAGAGCUUUUUGCCCUGCUCUGAGUGCUGGUAUCUUCUCUGCAAGUGCAACAUAGUCAUAAAAUACCUUGAAUUAAUUUAGUCAAAGUCUAGGCCCUAAUGCUAUCUCAAGAGCAAAAAAGUUUUUGUUACUUUCUCUGCAUACUCUCCUUUCAUUCCCCACCUCAGAAUCAAGCCCUUCAGAACAACUAAGAUGAUAACCAAGAUAAUAAUUUAUUUGACCUUAUCAGUAUUCCUUUUCAUCAAGUGCAAAGCAAAAUAUUUUUAUCACAAUAAAGUUCAUUCUAAUGCUGUAUUUAAUACCGUUCCCUCACCCAAAUAUAAAUGCAGACCACUGAAAAAAAGCACAUAACAUCACACACGUUCCAGCUGAUUAUAUAAAUACUGUAAGAUUACUUAGUAAAAAUGAUUGCUUGUGAAAAACAUUAUCAAGCAAGGGCUUGACUUAGGAUCACUAUGCUUUGAUGAUACAUGCUUUUUGUUAAGAAGAAAGAUUGUGUGGAAUUGUAU